RNAcentral lists this ribosomal RNA (557 nucleotides) under Fusarium oxysporum. RNAcentral describes it as "eukaryotic LSU rRNA". The stretch from base 202 to 355 matches the Rfam family "5.8S ribosomal RNA". Lineage: Eukaryota; Fungi; Ascomycota; Sordariomycetes; Hypocreales; Nectriaceae. The record is from RNAcentral.
GAAGUAAAAAGUGUAACAAGGUCUCCGUUGGUGAACCAGCGGAGGGAUCAUUACCGAGUUUACAACUCCCAAACCCCUGUGAACAUACCACUUGUUGCCUCGGCGGAUCAGCCCGCUCCCGGUAAAACGGGACGGCCCGCCAGAGGACCCCUAAACUCUGUUUCUAUAUGUAACUUCUGAGUAAAACCAUAAAUAAAUCAAAACUUUCAACAACGGAUCUCUUGGUUCUGGCAUCGAUGAAGAACGCAGCAAAAUGCGAUAAGUAAUGUGAAUUGCAGAAUUCAGUGAAUCAUCGAAUCUUUGAACGCACAUUGCGCCCGCCAGUAUUCUGGCGGGCAUGCCUGUUCGAGCGUCAUUUCAACCCUCAAGCACAGCUUGGUGUUGGGACUCGCGUUAAUUCGCGUUCCCCAAAUUGAUUGGCGGUCACGUCGAGCUUCCAUAGCGUAGUAGUAAAACCCUCGUUACUGGUAAUCGUCGCGGCCACGCCGUUAAACCCCAACUUCUGAAUGUUGACCUCGGAUCAGGUAGGAAUACCCGCUGAACUUAAGCAUAUCAUA